UUUACCUCCUUUUAUUUCUUAGCUAGGCUUCUGACACUAGUUGAUUUAUAAUCAUUUGGUUCCUACCCGGUAUGUGUCAAAUUUAUUUAUUGGCAAUUGUUUCUUUGAAUAUAAGUACGCGAUCUUGAUCUUGAUCUUGAUGUGCUUUUUAACGGAAGAUCCCAUUACCUUCUUAUUUCCAAAUUUCGGGAAAUCUCACUGUGACCGUACCAAAUCUCAUUGGAGCAUUAUGUCGGGCACAGAAGAUGUAAAAGAUCAAGAAAUGGUGGAUGGGAGUGCCCCUGAGAAGUCUCAGAAGUCUAUGCCAUCGUCUCAAGAGGAGGAGGCAGUUGUUAAAAAAAAGUAUGGAGGGAUCAUUCCCAAGAAACCCCCACUCAUCUCUAAGGACCAUGAGCGCGCUUAUUUUGAUUCAGCUGAUUGGGCACUUGGAAAGCAGCAAGGUGGUUCGAAGCCAAAAGGACCCCUUGAAGCCCUUCGGCCAAAAUUGCAGUUUUUAGAAAGAGAAUUAUGGACAAGCUCUGGGUUUCUUUGGAAUCAAGUAUUUUAAAGCGCGCAAGUCAUAUUGAGCAUACGCUCAAAGUCGUUGGGAACCAAUAAUCUGAGCAGUCCAGACCCUUGCAAAAACCCACACAACAGCAAACACGAUAUAGAAAGUCUCCUUGUGCUCCUUCUGUUGGUGAAGAUGCAGGGAGUGCAUCUGAGGAAGCAAGUGGUAAUGAAUGAAAUCUAUUGUUGAUGGUCUCUUAUUGUGAGUGAGGACCAUUGAUAAUUAUUCUGAUAACUGCAUAAGUUAAUGAGUAACUUUCGGCUGUUCCCAGUAAUAAAGUUGGUAAGAAUGAUACUAUUAGCUAAAAAGAAACAAAUUACCAUCUUUGUUGUAGUUAAGAUAUAUUGUGAACCAUAAAACAUUGUUCUAAAGUAUGUUUUAGGGAUGUAGGACAUAAUUGCUUGUUUUCUGAGUGAAAAGCUUGAUAUUUAGGCUUUGCUUUUGGUCGGCCAGUGAGAGAUGCCAUUAUGUUUAAGCUUAAGAGUUAUUAUAUUUUGUAUCGGUCUCUUGAAUA
This is an RNA transcript of Pistacia vera, 1061 nucleotides long. RefSeq lists it as uncharacterized. The record is from RefSeq and is a predicted model, not a curated record. NCBI's taxonomy places the organism in Eukaryota, Viridiplantae, Streptophyta, Magnoliopsida, Sapindales, Anacardiaceae. The transcript has 9 exons.